Molecule: ribosomal RNA, 253 nt
Filed under: uncultured bacterium
Lineage: Bacteria
Description: partial 16S ribosomal RNA
Rfam family: Bacterial small subunit ribosomal RNA
Source: RNAcentral
GACGAAGGAUGCAAGCGUUAUCCGGAUUCAUUGGGUUUAAAGGGUGCGUAGGCGGACUGAUAAGUCAGUGGUGAAAUCUCUUUGCUUAACAAAGAAACUGCCAUUGAUACUGUCGGUCUAGAGUAUAGAUGACGUUGGCGGAAUAUGACAUGUAGUGGUGAAAUACUUAGAUAUGUCAUAGAACACCGAUUGCGAAGGCAGCUAACGAAACUAUAACUGACGCUGAGGCACGAAAGUGCGGGAUCAAACAGGA